This 405-nucleotide ribosomal RNA is filed under the name uncultured bacterium. Its description in RNAcentral is "partial 16S ribosomal RNA". It matches the Rfam family "Bacterial small subunit ribosomal RNA", at positions 29 to 526 of the family's 1533-position model. The record is from RNAcentral.
UACGAACGCUGGCGGCGUGCUUAACACAUGCAAGUCGAGCGGAGCGGCGAACGGGUGAGUAACGCGUGAGUAACUGCCCCCCUCCCUGGGAUAACAGUUGGAAACGGCUGCUAAUACCGGAUAGUGGGGGAUGGCUCGCGUCCUAUCAGCUUGGUGGUGGGGUAGUGGCCUACCAAGGCGACGACGGGUAGCCGGCCUGAGAGGGUGACCGGCCACAUUGGGCUGAGAUGCGGCCCAGACUCCUCAGGGGGGCAGCAGUGGGGGAAAUUGCACAAUGGGCGAAAGCCUGAUGCAGCGUCGCCGCGUGGGGGAUGAAGGCUUUCGGGUUGUAAACCUCUUUCGCUAUCGAAAGGGUAGGUGGAGAAGAAGCGCCGGCUAACUACGUGCCAGCCGCCGCGGUAAUAC